Molecule: long non-coding RNA, 1081 nt
Organism: Acanthochromis polyacanthus (spiny chromis)
Lineage: Eukaryota; Metazoa; Chordata; Actinopteri; Pomacentridae
Exons: 2
Source: RefSeq, a predicted model, not a curated record
UUGUUUGUAUUGAUGUUAAUGUGAUUGCAGGUUUUGUAUUGUUAAUGUGAUUGCAGGUUGCUUGUAUUGAUGUUAAUGUGUUUGCAGGUUGUUUGUAUUGACGUUUAUGUGAUUGCAGGUUGUUUGUAUUGAUGUUAAUGUGAUUGCAGGUUGCUUGUAUUGAUAAUGUGAUUACAGGUUGUUUGGAUUGAUAAUGUGAUUGCAGGUUGUUUGUAUUGAUGUUAAUGUGAUUGCAGGUUGCUUGUAUUGAUGUUAAUGUGUUUGCAGGUUGUUUGUAUUGACGUUUAUGCGAUUUCAGGUUGUUUGUAUUGAUGUUUAUGUGAUUGCAGGUUGUUUGUAUUGAUGUUUAUGUGAUUGCAGGUUGUUUGUAUUGAUGUUUAUGUGAUUGCAGAUUGUUUGUAUUGAUCUUUAUGUGAUUGCUGGUUGUUUGUUUUGAUGUUUAUGUGAUUGCAGGUUGUUUGUAUUGCUCUUUAUGGAUUGCUGGUUGUUUAUGUGAUUGUGAUUGCAGGUUACUUGUAUUGAUGUUAAUGUGAUUGCAGGUUGCUUGUAUUGGUUUUAAUGUGAUUGCAGGUUGCUUGUAUUGACGUUAAUGUGAUUGCAGGUUGUUUGUAUUGAUGUUAAUGUGAUUGCAGGUUGUUUGUAUUGAUGUUAAUGUGUUUGCAGGUUGUUUGUAUUGACGUUUAUGUGAUUGCAGGUUGUUUGUAUUGAUGUUAAUGUGAUUGCAGGUUGCUUGUAUUGAUAAUGUGUUUGCAGGUUGCUUGUAUUGGUUUUAAUGUGAUUGCAGGUUGCUUGUAUUGACGUUUAUGUGAUUGCAGGUUGUAUUGAUGUUAAUGUGAUUGCAGGUUGUUUGUAUUGAUGUUAAUGUGAUUGCAGGUUGCUUGUAUUGGUUUUAAUGUGAUUGCAGGUUGCUUGUAUUGACGUUUAUGUGAUUGCAGGUUGUAUUGAUGUUAAUGUGAUUGCAGGUUGCUUGUAUUGAUGUUAAUGUGUUUGCAGGUUGUUUGUAUUGACGUUUGUGAUUUCAGGUUGUUUGUAUUGAUUAUGUGAUUGCAGGUUGUUUGUAUUGAUGUUUAUGUGAUUGCAG